CUUUUUGUUAUUGGUGCAUAUCAACUUAACUUAACUGAGUUAAAAAAAAUCAUCAACUUGCCCAGCCUUGAAUUAUUAUCUGCAGUCGUUGCAAUUUUCACAAGUUUUACAAUGAUGAUUUCCAACCGGUCGAUCGUAUAAUAAUAAUAAUAAUAAUAAUAACCGGAUCCGGUGGCGGUUCGACGAGAGUGCACAGACAUCUCUUGGCUUGUACCGGAAACUGCAGGCUGCAAGACGGUCGAAUAAUAUUUGUCUCUUCGAGCGGAUCCAACAACCGUUGGAUUUUCGAGUAGGUACAAGUAUCCAACAGAAUUCGAGUUUGCACAAAUUGCCUAUUUAAGUACCUAAUUUUAGAGGCAUAAUAUUUUGUGUGAAAUAAUUCAUAUUAUACCAUAUCAAUGGCGUUCAAGGGAAAUAUGUCCUGCAAUAGUGUUGUGGUUAUAUUAUUAAACAUAUUCAUGUGAUAAAUCUAAAAAAAAUCCAACAGGGUUCUGGUGAACUCCCUCCCCCUCACCGUGCGAACACGACAUAAUAUAUUGAUCAAAGAUCGCCAUGCCACCAUGUGUCCUGGAAAAAUGCGAGCCCGGCGUAAUAUAUUAUGAACAAUGAACC
Metopolophium dirhodum (rose-grain aphid) is the source of this 612-nucleotide long non-coding RNA. RefSeq lists it as uncharacterized. The record is from RefSeq and is a predicted model, not a curated record. Lineage: Eukaryota; Metazoa; Arthropoda; Insecta; Hemiptera; Aphididae. The transcript has 3 exons.